AUAAUAUUUUGAUGCACCGGGAUGAUUGCUGAAUCAUCAUGAAUCAUUAUUGACUUGUAGUAGACAUUAUUUGCAAACUUAUUUAUUACACACACACACACACACAAAUGAGACGCACAUAAAAAUGAUUUGUCGCCGAUGGAAGACAACUUCCUCCUUAAUAUCGAUAUCUUAAUAGGCUUGGUUAAUUAAAAUAUUUGUGUCGUCUGCUUUCACACUUCACAGUUUCUUUGUUUCACAGUUUCGAAAAAGCAAAAAGAGACGAAGUUUCAGAUAUUUUUUAUUUUACAAAACUGAACAGAUCACUGGAUUGGAAACGUGUACGUGGCUGCAAGAGAAAUAGCAGAAUAACAAAAUAAAAGGUGGUCGUGUGAACUUUGGUGUCUUGAUUCCCCAUGCUCUCCACUCCAUGGUCUUUCUCAGACAAACAGCUCCUAGUUUAAUUGGAAAAAAAACUCUGUUCUCGUGUACACCCAUGUGAAAGUGAGUGGAUAUUCACGAUGGCCCCCCUUUUCCUAUCCUGACUGGCGUCAACUUUACUGGGGAUGGAGCACUUGUGAUGCCUGGCUGUGGAUUUCCCGGGUUUAAAGGGUGGUAUAGUUGUUGUUGGGUUGUUGUUCAUAUGAAAAGAAGCAAAUCCAUUGCAGUGACGUUUCGGCAACGCCCUCGAGCAUUCAUCGGAUGACGACAAAUCGUCGCUAUCCCGUCUAAUAUACCUUGGGCUCGUAAUCUCCUGUCGCUCGGCAGCCAUAGGGCGUAAUUGCUAAUUCCCCGGGACAGCCACGUCGCAUUCGAAAAACAGAGUGAUCUUUUAUUUCUUUUAUAGUUUUGACUUUUCUUGUUUCUUGAUUGGUCGCUCGCUUUAUUGCACUCUCUCUCUCUCUCUAUCUUCAUUCGGCAACGACACACACACACACACACAGACAGACAUGUGUUGUAUAGCAUGGAAAACUUAUAUGGACGAUAUUACUGCUUGUUUGUCUUGGCUCACGAAUCGACGACGUCACGCAAUUAUCGACUAUCUUUCGCCCAUUCGUCGUCGUGUGUGUUGUUAGACUUUUUGCGCUGGAUCGGCUCUUUUUUCUCUUUUUCCUGCAUUUUCGCUCUCUCUCUCUCUCUUUCUCUCUCCGUUCCAUCCAUAGAGCUAUAUUUAUACUUGACCGGGGCAUGCCGAGACCUUCGGAUAUAUAUACAGAUAGAUGUGUGUACAGACCCGAGUCCCGCGUACAUCACACGUUCAUUCCUCUGUUUCAUCUGUGUAUGUUAUGUGGACUACACAACAACAAUCAAAAAGAGAUGAAAGAUGCCAUUGCGCUAUAUCGAGAACACACAGCCAGAUCCAUUUUUAUUUUUCGCCCGGAAUGAGAAUUCAAUCUUCUGCUGCCUCCAUUCAUUUGCUGUUUUUUCUCUUAAAAAUAUGUGUGCGACUCCAUUUCUGGUUUUCAUUUUUUAUUUUCUGCAAGUUUUUUUUUGUUGUUGUUUUGUUUCGCCGUAUUAUCUCACCCGGACACAUUCCGUCAUGGUGUGUAACAUCUCACCGUCCGCACCUCUGAAACAUAACGUGAGGGUUGGGAGGGUGGUGGUGGGGGGGGGGCUGUCGUCUUGAAUAUCCGCAUGGCUGAGACUGAAUGGCGUGAUUCGGCUGUCGGAAUUUCGCACCAGCACUCUUUGAGAUGAGCGCAAAGUAUAUAUGGGCCAGCAUUUUCAACUGGGGUUUAUUUUUAGACCAAAGUUUGUCCUCUUUUGAUGACAAGAGACUCUGUGCUCUACUCUACUAGCAGAAGAGCUUUUAAAAAAAAAAACCCAAAACAGGAAACUGAUGACCGGUGCUCGCUCUCGUUCGUACCUC
Molecule: long non-coding RNA, 1849 nt
Filed under: Daphnia pulicaria
Lineage: Eukaryota; Metazoa; Arthropoda; Branchiopoda; Diplostraca; Daphniidae
Description: uncharacterized LOC124344479
Source: RNAcentral